Non-coding RNA from Corylus avellana, 1578 nucleotides. The record is from RefSeq and is a predicted model, not a curated record. NCBI's taxonomy places the organism in Eukaryota, Viridiplantae, Streptophyta, Magnoliopsida, Fagales, Betulaceae.
AAAGAGAAAAGAAGAACAAUCCACUGUUUCUCUAAAUUCAUUCCAUAAUCAAAACUUUUCUUUGGUUGAUGAUUCCUUGAGCUUUUCUUGGUUUUCAAUAGUCUCUCAUUGUGCUUACGCAGACGGAAACCGAAACAUGGUGUUUCACGCAGUAUCCGAAACAACCGAGACGCCACCGGCGCCGGCGCAACCGCCGGCCAUGGCCUCCUCCGCCUUCGCUCCGAAGCCCCAGAAUCUCCAUGGCUUUGCUUUCUCCGACUUCAAGUGGCCAGUCAACCACUCUACCACCAAGCAACACCACCACCGGUUCCGAAACAGGCUCGCCCACUCGGAGCCCCGACCGAAUUGUUCUCCCGUGGUCAAUGAAGAUGAUCGUCAUCAUCGCCGGGUGGGCCGGAAACUCGCCAAGUCGGCUCGGUCUGCUGACUAUGAGCCUCGGCUCGGUUCUCCGCUGAAGAACGAUUACCACCAGGUCAGUAAGCUCGGCGGUUCGACUCGGAAGGAUUUUGGGUCAGAGAAUCGGAAUGAUCCUUUGUGUGACGGUUUUAAGAAACCGGGUUUUCCUGAGCCUCCGAAGGAAAACUCGGAGAAGAAGUCAACGAACCCUGGCCGUGAGAUCGAGAAAUCGACGGCAUCCGAUGUGAAAUCGAAGAUAUUCAUUCGUAUCCGAACCAAAAGCAAGUCCGAAGCUGAUGCUGGCGACGAUGGAGCCGCAGAAGCACCGGAUCAAACCUCAGCUGCGGCCGUGCCGGAAUCCGAUGAACCGGCGCCAAAGAAGUGGAAUCUCCGGCCAAGAAAACCGGCGCCGAAGCGUCCCAACGCAGACGGAGGAGCACCGGAAGCUGCUGGAGCGCCGGCGCAGGAUACCAAAACCCAGCCUCUGGGUCACGCCGAACCGUCUCGGGCCCGAAACGGAACGGACGCGAAAGUUUCGGAGAAGAGACCGAAACUUUCGAUUUCGCUUUCGAAGGAAGAGAUCGAAGAGGAUAUCUUCGUGCUCACGGGCUCCAAGCCCGCCAGAAGGCCCAAGAAGCGAGCUAGGAACGUUCAGAACCAGCUCGAUAAUGUUUUUCCGGGAUUGUGGUUGGGUUCUAUUACGGUGGAGACAUACAAGGUCACUGAUGCUCCUCGGCAGGGUUAAAUAAGACUCGUGCUAAUUUAUGGUUCUUUGACUGUUUGUUGGAACGUUGAAAGCUUUGUGACUGCGACUGAGGACCCCUUUUGACAUCAAUGGAAGUUUCAGCUGGAAUCUACGUACCUAGCUAUGAGGAAGCAAUUUGACACAAUGAUCAAGAUUAAUUUUCCAAAAGCAGAGGAGCAGCUGCCACACAAGAGUGGAGCUAUUCUCAGCUCAAAUGGUGUUGAGUGGUGAUGCUAGUUAAUAUGAAAUGUUGGCCAUUUUCAACUUAUAAGACAGUUGAGAGCUGGUGCAAAAUGGUACUUCUCUCUCCACUGGCUGCAUUCUGGAAAUCAGAAGUGGAAGUGAAUGGCAAAAAUAGAGUAAUGCUAAAAACUACUUUUAUCCUACCAUUAUUUUACUUGGAUGACGUGGUAGUGGUAAUUAACUAUUUUAUAUAU